Long non-coding RNA from Scophthalmus maximus (turbot), 2672 nucleotides. Lineage: Eukaryota; Metazoa; Chordata; Actinopteri; Pleuronectiformes; Scophthalmidae. The record is from Ensembl.
CCAACUUUGGCCCCAAUUAUGAGCUGCAGCUCUCCUUCCACGAUGUCAAAGACAUCCAACACCUGUAUGGUGAGUUUAGCUAGAUUGAAAAGGAUUCAUUCACUGCUUGGAUUCGGAAAGGUAGCUGAUCCUUUUUUUUUUUCAAACCAGCAAAAUAGAAAAUGAAAAACAUCACAUUCGUUAUGGUUUCAUUGUGAGACUGACCAUAUAAGUAGCUUAGCACAAAAAAUAUUGACAGUUUAGGUGUGCCGAGGAAUAAUGAGUAAACAUGCAGCAAGUGCGUGGGAAACCAGCUCAAACAAACCACAGCAUCCUGUUUCAAAGAUUUCGUCAUUCGUCCAGCAACGACAAUUUUUAUUUGGAAAUCUAAAUCUCUUAAUGCUAUCUCUGAAGAUUUUAUUUGAUUUUACUUGAAAAGAAAAUGUGAACAUUUCAAAGUGCGGGGUCUUGUUUUCUUUGUAAACAAGGCACAUUUCCUUCUUGGCUUGCCCGCAGGUAUCAGUCCCAAUUUCGCUUCAUUAUUCUCACAAAAGCCCCCUCCAAGAACACCUGAUAAAUGUGAUCCAGAUUUGUCAUUUGGUGCUGUAACAGAGUUAUAACAGGAGGUCCUGUUUUUCAAAGACAGGUAGGUAACUGUGCCAGUUUGUCUACAUAAUGAAGCCCGGCAGACAGACCUUAUGUCUCUCUGGGGUAAUGGUAAUGGGAAAAAAACAAUGUAACUUACUGUCCUUUCAGAUUUAUGUGGCGCAAACAUCCUCAGUUUGAUGGAAGAGGAAUCACUCUGAUCAACUGUCUAUGGCCAAAUUGUGUUCCUCCCUUCUUGGAUGCUGUCUAUGUGGAUGUGAAAAGAAUGUAAAUGUGUUUUUCAAAGGCGAUCAGUACUGGAUGCUGAAGCAGUUGAAACUUGAGGAAGAUUUUCCUGGAAACAUCUCAGACUUGGGCUUCCCCUCCAGUAUAAAAUCUUCAGGUGCUGCUCUUCAUUUCAGAAAUGGCCGCUACACUGUGUUCUUCACCGGCCACGAGUGUUGGAAGUAUGAAAGAUGAUACCGUUUCCCACAGCCCUUUCCUCAUUUCCAGACUUAUUGUUAAGCUAAGCUUACGACCUGCUGGCUGAAGUGUUUUACUAAAUGGACAGAUAUAAGCGUAGUAUGGAUCUUCUCAUCUAAGUCUAGGCAGGAAAGCAAACAAGUAUACUUUCCUGUACAUAUUUUAUAUGGUAAAGUAGUGCAUGCAAUGCUUAUCAUCUGUAAUGAAAUGUAGUGUAAAGUGCAUUAGGUUUAUAGUUAAUCAAAGGCAUUUCUUUUUCUAGAUAAACAGACUGACUGGCAAUAGUACAUUCACAAUUAAUCUCCAGAAUUUCAUCAGGCACACAUUCUAAUGAAGUUCAUGUACUUAGUGGUGCGUUAACUAUUAAUAUGAUGCCACAGUUAUCUAAUGCUAUUGAAAAAUGCUCCCAUUGCUAUCCAUUACACCAGAUUACUUCUUUGUUAUGUGUUGAUGUAAUUACAACUUAUGAAUUUCCCGUGUGAGUAAAAGAGAAGGACGUGUUGUCACCUGUGUUUCCUAUUUCUCAUCCAAUGUGGGUUUAAAUUGUUCAACCAUGAUGCAUUUACUGGUGUCAUGAGACACACCUGGCUGGGGAGUACAUUGUAACCGGCAUGCAGGACAACACAUAGACAAAGUUCUACCCUUUCAGUGAGAAAAUACAUUUCACAACAAAAUGAUUGCUCUCCCUGUCAGUGUCCAAUAUUAGGUAACACUAACCACAAUGUAUCUUUCCAUUAACAGUUGCAUUUAGAUAAAGCGGUUAUGGAUUUUUACAGACAAAUCACGAAGCUCCUCCACCAGGUGAAAAAGCAUUUAAAAUGCCUAUGCAGUACAGCAACCAUAUAUUUGACAGAAUUAACCGAUUUGAUUUUUUCAUCAAUUCAAUGGAAGUUACAGCAAAAAAGAUCUAGUUUCCCAUAAUUGACUCACAUUAAUACAUGCAAUGAAAAGGCUGCUUGACUUUUGUCAAGCAGCCUUGAAUGAAGUGAGAUGACAUAUCAUUGGCAACGGGGAUUUUAUGUUGACGUGACACAUCAUGUCUGUGCUUGUUUACAAUGCACUGUGAUGUCAUUACCUUGGACGAGGCAACAAUAGCGUCAGCAUGAGAGCUGGAGAAGAGAGUCUAUGACUCAAGGGUGCAGCUAUUGAAGACAGUAAACUAAGGAGUAUCAUUCAAAAAAGCACCCAAACAAAACAGUCAAAUUAAAAACAAGAUCACCAUGAGGUUCAUUUAAUAGUGCUUCUGGAGCUUUUGGUUGUAUCAUGUUUCUAAACAGAUGGAAUUUGGAUAUUUUUUUUGUUACAAGGUAUUUUGUCCCCGUAUUCUGAUUCACAUACAGAUGCAAAUACAGAUUUUAAAAUAUAUAUUUUUAAAUAUAUACAUGUGGUUAGACAGGGACUUAUUUUGAUUCCUCAUGUAAAACAUGUGAAUUUGUUUUAAUCAAUAUGCAGUGUAAAGUGCACAACCACUGUCUGUGUCAUCUGAAUUAAAGAGUUUGUUUUGAGCAAAGUCUGACUUCCUCUAUUGUCCAUUGAUGGAAUAUUUUCUGAGUCACUGACUCUAGAUCCUAGUUGCUCAACAUGGCCAGUCCUCAGACUAUAUAACAGCAGCCUGGCACAGUAGA